AUGAGAGGGUUCGAGAGGAGAGGCGUCCGGCAGUACAACCGGUCCGACGAGCCACGGAUGCGGUGGACGGAGGAGCUGCACCGGCAGUUCAUCGAGGCCGUCGACUGCCUCGGCGGCCAGGAUGAGGCAACACCAAAGCGAAUUCUUCAGCUGAUGGGCACAAAAGGGGUCAGCAUAUCUCACAUCAAGAGCCAUCUUCAGAUGUACAGGUCAAGCUCUAGCAACAACAACAACAAUAACCCACCCCACGCGUCAGUGAAUCGUUGCCAAGAUCACUGCAUCGAUGGCAACAACACAAGAACAAUAAACGCUCCCUCUAACGUCGUGUUUCGCCGCGGCCACCACUCGAUGUUGCCGCCGUGCCAAAUCUAUAGCUCAUUGUACAGACCAUCGAUAGAAGAGGUUUUUAGGAGCUGGGAGGAGAGUAGAAAGCGGCUGCCAUGGAACUCCACCGGCAUGCUAAUUACACCAGAGAAGGCGACCGGCUGGUCACGUCACACCGACGACAAGAUGCGCCAGAAGAAGCAGCAACCGGCAGCGGGGUGUGACCUAACGUUGUCGAUCGGCCGGUGUGGGGAGUCAGAGGCGACCAGCGACGCUGACAUCUCGAGCAUGACCACCGAGGAGGCCGCCGCACUGGCAAGGGGUCGAGGUGCCGGUUGCCACCGUCGCCGCGAGGCCGCCGCCAUUCUGCACCUUGACUUGAACCUCGACAUCGCCGUCUCAUCUUCUCGGCUCUGA
RNAcentral lists this ribosomal RNA (741 nucleotides) under Triticum aestivum (bread wheat). Its description in RNAcentral is "partial small subunit ribosomal RNA". Lineage: Eukaryota; Viridiplantae; Streptophyta; Magnoliopsida; Poales; Poaceae. The record is from RNAcentral.